RNAcentral lists this non-coding RNA (195 nucleotides) under Paenibacillus sp. The record is from RNAcentral. RNAcentral also lists the same sequence under 1 other name. Lineage: Bacteria; Bacillati; Bacillota; Bacilli; Caryophanales; Paenibacillaceae.
GGAUUAGCGAUGUAACAAGGUGCUCUUGCCGGAUCAGGCAAGGGAUAACAGGGAAUCGGGUGCAAGUCCCGAGCGGUCCCGCCACUGUAAGGAAGAGCUGAACUUCAUGAUGUCACUUGGGGAGAUCCCGGGGAAGACGAAGGAUGCAGCGCCCGUAUUCCAAGCCAGGAGACCUACCUUGAUUACACACACCAC